Molecule: long non-coding RNA, 856 nt
Filed under: Physcomitrium patens
Lineage: Eukaryota; Viridiplantae; Streptophyta; Bryopsida; Funariales; Funariaceae
Description: long non-coding RNA (PPAT_LNC001590)
Source: RNAcentral
GAAGAUGACCUCUGGUUGGAAUUGGGCCUUUCAAAAUAGGUUGCGUAUUUUGGUACAUUUUCUUACUAUCUAAAUGUAAGAGACGUGACAAUGAGAGUUGCAAAGACAAUAUUGUCUUUUGUUAUAUGGGGAGGAUGGAGUUUUUAUUGACACUCUCCCCUAGGGUGGUGUAAUCUAUAUCGCCUCCUUAUUUCUCUGUUGAUGUUGUAGUGGAUUUAGCUCUCUUCUUAUCAAGUGUAAGAGAAGAUAUAUUUUCUUUGAGUUGGUUUUUAUCCAAGAGUGCAUGUGUGGCUGUCUUGGCUUAUGUUGAAAGUGGCCUCAAUGUCCCUUUUUGCAUGAUGGAUGCAAAUUCUCGUAGCAUUGUUGUUUUACAUGGCGUUUGGCUUGAGAAUGUACUGAGCACCUAGCUAUGGAAGAUAAAAGAAAAAUUGCAACAACAAGUCCUAACAACUCUAAAGGAUUUUAAAACAAAUCACAAUUAAAGAUUAGUAAAUAUAAUCAAACAUCGAUCAAAUUCAAUCAAAAUUUUAAAGAAAUUAUGUAAGAAACACAAAGUAUUCCUAGAAACCCUUUAAAGAAUCAUAAAGAAAUAAUAUAAAAAUUAAAAAAUAUACUAAAAUAGAAUCUUUAAUAAAAUAUUAAAAUAGAAACUUUAAUUAAAUCCUAAUGAAAACCUAAUAAAAUUCUUAUCAAAUCCUAAUUAAAUCCUAACUAAAUCCUAAAUAAAUCCUAGUCAAAUCCUAACAAAUCCUAACCAAAUCCUAAUCAAAUCCUAAACAAACUUUAAUCAAAUUUUAAUCAAACUCUAUCCAAAUCCUAACCAAAUCCUAAACAAAAUCUAAAAAAACCUUAAUCA